UACGUAGGGGGCAAGCGUUGUCCGGAAUCAUUGGGCGUAAAGCGCGCGUAGGCGGCCCUGUAAGUCCGUUGUGAAAGUCGAAGGCUCAACCUUCGAAAGCCGAUGGAUACUGCAGGGCUAGAGUCCGGAAGAGGCGAGUGGAAUUCCUGGUGUAGCGGUGGAAUGCGCAGAUAUCAGGAGGAACACCAAUAGCGAAGGCAGCUCGCUGGGACGGUACUGACGCUAAGGCGCGAAAGCUAGGGGAGCGAACAGG
RNAcentral lists this ribosomal RNA (253 nucleotides) under uncultured bacterium. RNAcentral's name for it is "partial 16S ribosomal RNA". It matches the Rfam family "Bacterial small subunit ribosomal RNA", at positions 524 to 776 of the family's 1533-position model. The record is from RNAcentral.